UACGUAGGGGGCGAGCGUUGUCCGGAGUUACUGGGCGUAAAGGGCACGCAGGCGGUCGCGCAAGUUUGGAGUGACAGUCCUCGGCUUAACUGAGGAAGGCCUCUGAAAACUGUGGGACUUGAGGACCAGAGAGGGACAUAGAAUUCCGGGUGGAGUGGUGAAAUGCGUAGAUAUCCGGAGGAAUACCAAAGGCGAAGGCAGUGUCCUGGCUGGUCUCUGACGCUGAGGUGCGAAAGCCAGGGGAGCGAACAGG
RNAcentral lists this ribosomal RNA (253 nucleotides) under uncultured bacterium. Its description in RNAcentral is "partial 16S ribosomal RNA". It matches the Rfam family "Bacterial small subunit ribosomal RNA", at positions 524 to 776 of the family's 1533-position model. The record is from RNAcentral.